UACAGAGGUCCCAAGCGUUGUUCGGAUUCACUGGGCGUAAAGGGUGCGUAGGUGGUCAGGUAAGUCUGAUGUGAAAGCUCUGGGCUCAACCCAGAAAUGGCAUUGGAUACUAUCUGGCUAGAGGAAUGGAGGGGGGACUGGAAUACUUGGUGUAGCAGUGAAAUGCGCAGAUAUCAGGAGGAACACCGGUGGCGAAGGCGGGUCUCUGGGCAGUAACUGACGCUGAGGAGCGAAAGCGUGGGGAGCGAACAGG
Molecule: ribosomal RNA, 253 nt
Filed under: uncultured bacterium
Lineage: Bacteria
Description: partial 16S ribosomal RNA
Rfam family: Bacterial small subunit ribosomal RNA
Source: RNAcentral